This is a long non-coding RNA of Elgaria multicarinata webbii, 174 nucleotides long. RefSeq lists it as uncharacterized. The transcript has 4 exons. The record is from RefSeq and is a predicted model, not a curated record. Lineage: Eukaryota; Metazoa; Chordata; Lepidosauria; Squamata; Anguidae.
GGGGGAGCCUGGACUCCGAGGGCCCGUGGGGUUUCCAGGAAAGCCCGGUUCCAAAGGUCCGCCUGGGUUGCCCGGCAUGAAAGGCCUCCCCGGCCCACAGGGCAGGAUGGGUGGCUUAGGUCCUGGAGGAUUCCCUGGACCCCCGGGGCUUCCUGGUUUACACGGACAAAACGG